AUAAAUAAAUUUUUUAUAAUUUAAAAAAUUUUUUAAAAAUUUAUUUUACAUAUAAAUUUUAGUAUUUAUAUUUAUAUAUUUUAAUAAUAUUUAAUUUAAUAUAAGUAGUAAUUUAUAUUAAAAAUUUAAGAAAUUGAGAUUUAGUAAUAUAAAAAUUAAUAACAAAUUUUGUGCCAGCAGUUGCGGUUAUACAAAAAUUGAAUUAAAUUUUAUUAGUUAUUAAUAAAUAUUAUUAAAAUUUAAAUUAAAUAUUAAAUUAUUAAGUGAAAUUUUAAUUUAAUUAAAAUUUAAAUUAUAUAAUAUGAAUUAAAAAAUUUUAUUAUAAACUAGGAUUAGAUACCCUAUUAUUAAAAAUUUAAAUAAAAAAUACUAAAAUAGUAGAUAAUUAUUUAUUGAAACUUAAAUAAUUUGGCGGUAUUUUAGUUCAUUUAGAGGAAUCUGUUUAUUAAUUGAUAAUCCACGAAUAAUUUUACUUAAUUUAAAAUUUUGUAUAUCGUUGUUAAAUAAAUAUUUUUUAAUAAUUAUAAUAUUUAAAAAUUUUUAUAAAAAAUUAAAUCAGAUCAAGAUGCAGAUUAUAAUUAAGAAUAUAAUGGAUUACAAUAAAUUUAUUUAAAUGAAUAUUAAUUUGUAAUAAUUAAUUGAAAGUGGAUUUAAAUGUAAUUUUAUUUAAUUUGAUAAAAUGAUUAAAAAUUAAAAUAUGUACAUAUUGCCCGUCGCUUUCAUUAAUAAAUUGAAAUAAGUCGUAACAAAGUAGAGGUACUGGAAAGUGUUUCUAGAAUGAA
RNAcentral lists this non-coding RNA (782 nucleotides) under Cochylidia moguntiana. Lineage: Eukaryota; Metazoa; Arthropoda; Insecta; Lepidoptera; Tortricidae. The record is from RNAcentral.